Molecule: long non-coding RNA, 1618 nt
Organism: Strongylocentrotus purpuratus (purple sea urchin)
Lineage: Eukaryota; Metazoa; Echinodermata; Echinoidea; Camarodonta; Strongylocentrotidae
Exons: 3
Source: RefSeq, a predicted model, not a curated record
GCAAGCAUUUUUUUCUUCAAUUUGUAAAUUAUGAAGACAAUAUUGAUCAUUUCAGCACAGUUUGGAUUUCAUGGAUAUAGCCAUAUGUGAUAAGUUGUACUGUUUUUUUAACAAGCUGUUUUGAAUUUCCCAAUUUUAGGUCACCAAAGAAUGAAUAUCCCUUCAAAGCGAAAUCAAAAAUAUUUUGAUAAUGUAAAAAAUGCGACGUCAUAAAUAUAGUGAAUAUUGUUCCAUUUUGAGCAAACUUGGGAUCUCUUGAGUAUGAUCGUAAACAUUAUGUAAUCAACAUUGCCUUCAUUGAUUAUUGUUUGUUUUCCUUUUCUUUGGUCUAUUCUACGGAUGGAUGCAGGGGGGGACGUGCAUGAUAUGCGGACAGCUGAAUUUCAAGAGAGGGUGCGUCACAGGAUAUCAUCUUAUUUCAUCAUAGAGUCCGGAGAAUCUUCGAUUUGGAUGCAUAUGAACACAAUAUUGGUAUAAGGGCGUGGCGACAGAAGCGUAAGAGGAGUGUGACAUCCACAUUCCAAAUUUCAUCAGCAAACAUCAAUUUAGCCAGCCUUCAGCAAUAAUAUUAUUUUAAACGGUCCAAAAAUUAAUGUUCUACAAGCUUAGUCAGCAAAUUUGGUCCACCUAACGUGGCAGAAGUGGGUAUUUUUGUUGUUGUUGUUAACUUCUCUAUGAUGAAAUUGCCUGUAUUUCAGCCUUGUUGAAAACAAUGUCAAAAUGCUAUUUUCUGUAGGAUUUGAAUGAUGAAAUCAGAAUCUUUUGAUUGGGGCGAGUGAAAUACUUGCUCCAUUUGGACUUUCAACCCUUUCCAACUGGUAACAUAGAACCCUAAAUUGAGCUACACUUUGCUUAGUAUAGUAGUUGAACAGCACCAUAUAAUAAUGUACUGAAUAUGUCCCUGAAGGCAUACCGAUUAAGGUGUUUAAUUUACUCAGUUUCACUGGAUAUAGGAAACUCUUAUAAAAAUUGAAAUUUGUCAAUAAUGAACAUAAUGCUGCAUUUUGUAAGUACCUAAACAUUUUCUAUAUUUAAUCAUUUAUUUAUUUAAUUGAUGUGGAUUUUUAAAAACUGUGUGGUUGCUGAUGUAAUAUGAAACGCAAGUUUGGUUUAUUUAUUCAAUAUUAUAAUUACAAUAACUUUAAAACAAUCAUCUCACAAGCAAUUUUAUUACCUUGUUGUAUUCAUACAGAAAUUGUCUUCAAGUUAUUAAAGCCUAUCGCACUAAUAGCACAUUUCAUAAGUGAUUCUAAAGAGCUAUUGAACCUUGUCACUGGCCGACUCUCAGGAAAUUUUCAUGAUGUUAUGAUAUCAAAAUUCAAAUGACUAGCAAACUGACGAUGUAUUAUGGGGCCUAUUGGGUAUGUGCAGUCAAAUCCAUCUCUAAUAAUCAAACCCAGUUUGAAUUUCAGUCAACCAGAAUUACAUGACUUGCAUUGAUUUAGUUUUAUUUUAUUUUUGCACUGUGAUGUCGUGAUCGAUCAAAAGUUGUGUGGAAGAGGCCACCCCCCCCUCCUCAAAUUGGUAUUGGUAUAAUCAUUUUGAAUGACAAGAGUUAUGAAAACAAACCAACAACCAUAAAAGAUAAAUAUUCUUGAUACAUGGAUUACUAAUAAAA